GAUGAACGCUGGCAGCGUGCCUAAUACAUGCAAGUCGAGCGAACAGACGAGGAGCUUGCUCCUCUGACGUUAGCGGCGGACGGGUGAGUAACACGUGGAUAACCUACCUAUAAGACUGGGAUAACUUCGGGAAACCGGAGCUAAUACCGGAUAAUAUAUUGAACCGCAUGGUUCAAUAGUGAAAGACGGUUUUGCUGUCACUUAUAGAUGGAUCCGCGCCGCAUUAGCUAGUUGGUAAGGUAACGGCUUACCAAGGCAACGAUGCGUAGCCGACCUGAGAGGGUGAUCGGCCACACUGGAACUGAGACACGGUCCAGACUCCUACGGGAGGCAGCAGUAGGGAAUCUUCCGAAAUGGGCGAAAGCCUGACGGAGCAACGCCGCGUGAGUGAUGAAGGUCUUCGGAUCGUAAAACUCUGUUAUUAGGGAAGAACAAAUGUGUAAGUAACUAUGCACGUCUUGACGGUACCUAAUCAGAAAGCCACGGCUAACUACGUG
Molecule: ribosomal RNA, 497 nt
Filed under: uncultured bacterium
Lineage: Bacteria
Description: partial 16S ribosomal RNA
Rfam family: Bacterial small subunit ribosomal RNA
Source: RNAcentral